This 460-nucleotide ribosomal RNA is filed under the name uncultured bacterium. RNAcentral's name for it is "partial 16S ribosomal RNA". It matches the Rfam family "Bacterial small subunit ribosomal RNA", at positions 338 to 795 of the family's 1533-position model. The record is from RNAcentral.
CCUACGGGUGGCAGCAGUGAGGAAUAUUGGUCAAUGGACGUGAGGCUGAACCCGCCAAGUAGCGUGAAGGAUGACUGCCCUAUGGGUUGUAAACUUCUUUUAUAUGGGAAUAAAGUGUUCCACGUGUGGGCGUUUGUAUGUACCAUAUGAAUAAGGAUCGGCUAACUCCGUGCCAGCAGCCGCGGUAAUACGGAAGGUCCGGGCGUUAUCCGGCUUUGUUGGGUUUAAAGGGCGCGUAGGUGGGUUGUUAAGGCAGGUGUGAAAUUUUGGGGCUCAACCGUGAGAGUGCAGUUGAAACUGGCGGUCUUGAGUACAGGAGAGGUGGGCGGAAUUCGUGGUGUAGCGGUGAAAUGCUUAGAUAUCACGAAGAACCCCGAUUGCGAAGGCAGCCUACCGGAGGGCAACUGACACUGAGGCUCGAAAGCGUGGGUAUCGAACAGGAUUAGAUACCCGGGUAGUC